AUCCUCAAAACGGUGAGUACAGAGCGAACUAUUCUUUUGCCUUUUACUAAAGAAUACCGUGUGCUCACCGCUUAUAGCGGCAUACACCUAUUUUUGGAGGCCUAUAUCUUUUUCUGGAAU
This 120-nucleotide small nuclear RNA is filed under the name Gossypium arboreum. RNAcentral describes it as "U5 spliceosomal RNA". It matches the Rfam family "U5 spliceosomal RNA". From Rfam's summary of the family: U5 RNA is a component of both types of known spliceosome. The precise function of this molecule is unknown, though it is known that the 5' loop is required for splice site selection and p220 binding, and that both the 3' stem-loop and the Sm site are important for Sm protein binding and cap methylation. Lineage: Eukaryota; Viridiplantae; Streptophyta; Magnoliopsida; Malvales; Malvaceae. The record is from Rfam by way of RNAcentral.